RNAcentral lists this ribosomal RNA (482 nucleotides) under uncultured bacterium. Its description in RNAcentral is "partial 16S ribosomal RNA". It matches the Rfam family "Bacterial small subunit ribosomal RNA", at positions 28 to 523 of the family's 1533-position model. The record is from RNAcentral.
GAUGAACGCUGGCGGCGUGCUUAACACAUGCAAGUCGAACGAUGAAGCCCAGCUUGCUGGGUGGAUUAGUGGCGAACGGGUGAGUAACACGUGAGUAACCUGCCCUUAACUCUGGGAUAAGCCUGGGAAACUGGGUCUAAUACCGGAUAGGAGCGUCCACCGCAUGGUGGGUGUUGGAAAGCUUUAUCGGUUUUGGAUAGACUCGCGGCCUAUCAGCUUGUUGGUGAGGUAAUGGCGCACCAAGGCUACGACGGGCAGCCGGCCUGAGAAGGUGACCGGCCACACUGGGACUGGGAAACGGGCCAGAUGCCUACGGGAGGCAGCAGUGGGGAAUAGUGAACAAUGGGCGAAAGCCUGAUGCAGCGACGCCGCGUGAGGGAUGACGGCCUUCGGGUUGUAAACCGCUUUCAGUAGGGAAGAAGCGAAAGUGACGGUACCUGCAGAAGAAGCACCGGCUAACUACGUGCCAGCCGCCGCCGUAA